CACCCAGGGGCGACGGGGGCCGCGGCAGCGCCCCCUAACGGCCGCCAACGGCCGGCGGGGCGGGGCGCGGCGUGAGGAGAGGAGGGCGGUGCCGGCCGCGCGCCGCAGGGCGUGGCCGCAGUACGUGCGCCGCGCUCUCAUUGGCUCCCCAGGCGGAAGGGCCGGUGGUGCGUGCGCGGGGGCCGCCCUCGCCCCCACGGAGCCUGAGGAGAUGGAGGCGGUGGCGCGGCGGCAGGAGGGCGAGGAGGACGGGGACGGCGCGGCGGGUGGUGGCAGCAGCAGCAGCAGCAGCAGCAGCAGCCGCCGCCGCCGGAGCCGGGCGUUGUCGCUGUCGGGGCAGUCCUACUGGCUGGACUUGUGGCUCUUCGUCCUCUUCGACCUGGCGCUAUUCGUCUUCAUCUACUUGCUGCCCUGAGGGCGCCGGGCCCAGAGCUACUACCUAAUCACAGGAUGCACCUUAUGCAAGCAGGCGGUGGAAGAGGAGGACAUUUGUGCAGUAUAAACAGCCGGGAACAAGACUCGACUUGCAUCUGAAUGCAAGAGGCACAUAUAUACUUAGUAUCAUAAUGUAUCUGUAGCUGUAUCACAAGUAUUACUGUUCAGGUUUUUACCUGUACCCUGUUACUUUUUUCUAAGCUGUGCCUUAAAGGUCACGUAAGACAACUUGACUGUGCUUUUGUAAUUAGUGCCUAAAGGUUUGUUAAGUGGAAGUGAAGAUAUGUACUGUUUGAAUAAAAAUAGACUGAAAAGGACAGACUAGAGUGGCUGAGAAUAAAAACCCAGCUCUUGCAUAGA
This is a long non-coding RNA of Falco peregrinus (peregrine falcon), 795 nucleotides long. RefSeq lists it as uncharacterized. Lineage: Eukaryota; Metazoa; Chordata; Aves; Falconiformes; Falconidae. The record is from RefSeq and is a predicted model, not a curated record. The transcript is spliced from 2 exons.